The sequence is a small nuclear RNA, 198 nucleotides long. Its record names the gene U2. It matches the Rfam family "U2 spliceosomal RNA". From Rfam's summary of the family: U2 is a small nuclear RNA (snRNA) component of the spliceosome (involved in pre-mRNA splicing). Complementary binding between U2 snRNA (in an area lying towards the 5' end but 3' to hairpin I) and the branchpoint sequence (BPS) of the intron results the bulging out of an unpaired adenosine, on the BPS, which initiates a nucleophilic attack at the intronic 5' splice site, thus starting the first of two transesterification reactions that mediate splicing. The record is from Ensembl.
GUAAUUUUUUGAGAAGGACCUGUAUAUGGAUUUGAUAAAAAAAAAUCUGUUCUUAUCAGUUUAAUAUCUGAUAUGUCCCCUAUCUGGGGACUACAUAUUAAAUUGAUUUUUGGAUCACGGAGCUGGAGCCGGGGCUUGCUCUGUUCACUCCACGCAUCGGCCUGGUAUUGCAGUGUCUCCAGGAACAGUGUGCAUCCC